RNAcentral lists this unclassified non-coding RNA (2954 nucleotides) under Hevea brasiliensis (rubber tree). The record is from RNAcentral. Lineage: Eukaryota; Viridiplantae; Streptophyta; Magnoliopsida; Malpighiales; Euphorbiaceae.
GAAAGUUGUUAAAAGAUGAGACUAUGAGUCCAUACUAUCUCUUCAUCUAAUACUAUAUACCCAUUACACGUACUAAAUUUGGGACCAAUUUAUCGUUUGCAGUGGAAAUGGAUCAUUGGCUGGGUCCAUCUACAAUUCAACUACGCAAAUUUCAAUUCAAAAGUCAGCAACAUAAACCUAAUUUUGUCAGUGUUCAAAGCUGUGAUGGACCUUCACUCUCAAAUAGGAUAGCCGUGCAGCGAAUAUCAAAAUCAACUAAAUUUUAUUGGGAUAAGUUUGAAUUUAUAAAAAGGGUUUGGACUUGUUCAGGUAUGAAGGCGCUGCCAAGUUAGCCAUGCACAUAAAUGGAGGCUCUGUUUUUGAAUAUUCCUUUUUGCUUUUUUAACUCAUUCGCCGAGCACACCAAAAGCAAAACAAAUUUACACAGGUAGAGGAAAAUAACAAUGUCCUGUAGAAGGAAGGAAGACGCUUCCUGUCAUAGCGUGCAUGGACCGGAUAUAGCUAAUGUGGGGAAACUUAUCUUCAUAUUAAAAUCUCUUGUUUCUUUGCUGCUUCCCACUCCCUGUUUAACAAUGUCAGGUAAUUUACUAUGACACUCUUGUUAUUAUGCUCCUUGCUUAGCUGCAACGCUCAAAAUCAGGGAAAUAUAACCUUGGGAUCCAGCAUCACAGCAGGAUCCAAUUCCUCUUGGCUCUCAUCCUCUGCCGAUUUCGCCUUUGGGUUCUAUCCUCUCACAAAUGGCCUCUUCCUUGUUGGGAUAUGGUUUGCUAAUAUACCCAAUAAAACACUUGUUUGGUCAGCAAAUCGUGACAUCCCGCUGCCAACAGGAUCAAACGUCACCCUGACUGAGGAUGGCAGGUUUGUGUCUACGCACACCAAUGGAAGCAUAUUUCCUAUAUACGAUGGUGGUGCUGCCAGUUCAGGUUCCAUGCAAGACAACGGCGAUUUCGUCUUGAUGAAUUCGGGUUCACGGCCCAUUUGGCGGAGCUUCGAUAAUCCAACAGACACAAUUCUGCCAGGCCAAGAACUCAAGAAGAAACAAUCCUUGUUUUCCAACGCCAACGGAACAGUGGAUUUCUCAACCGGAAGAUUCAAGCUGGAGAUGCAGGAGGCCGAUGGAAAUCUGGUGCUUUCAGCUUUCCGAUUUGGUGGUCCAGCCUAUUGGUUCACGGGAACUUCGGGUCAAAACGCCAGUUUGGUCUUCAAUGAGAGCAGUGCGUUAAUGUAUAUCGUCAAUGAAACUGCGAUUAUUUACCAGAUGACGAAAACAAGCGAUUUGCCAACUUCAAUUAAUAGCUAUUACCACAGAGCAACGAUAGAUGAUGGUGGAAAUUUUCAGCAACAUAUCCAUCCCAAAGUUAAUGGAAGCCAGUGGAUAAGCGUGUGGAGAGCAAUCACUCAACCAUGCACUGUGAAUGGCAUAUGUGGUGUGUAUGGAUACUGCACUACCGAUAAUAAUCAAACACAAACAGUAACUUGUAGCUGCCUUGGAGGUUAUUCUUUAUUGGAUCCAAAUAUCCCCUCCAAAGGUUGCUUUCCUGACAUCCCACCGGAACAGUGCAGCAACAACACUCGAUCGCAGGUGACUUACACAGUAGAUCAGAUUGAAGACGCCGAUAUCCCAAAUGAUUUUACGGCAGAUUUGGCAGAGAUAAGAAAUAUAGUCCUGGCCAAUUGUACCAAGGCAGUUCAGGAUGAUUGCUACUGCAUGGCUGCUACAUUCAAUGUGAGCGGAUCUGUUUGUCGCAAGUUAAGGAUUCCUUUCUUUACUGCGAGGAAGAGUAACCCUGCUACUAUUGGGGUAGUAGCCCUCAUCAAGGUUCCUGUUGGGACUAAUAAUAUUCCAGAGGAUGGAGAAAAAGAUUCCCGUACUGUUCUUAUAGUGUGCCUUUCAGUAACCAGCGUGCUUGUCCUGUUUUUCGCAGCGUUUGCGCUCUAUUACCACCCUAUAACCAAAAGAUUCAAAUCCAGAAAACCUCCAUCAGUUCCAUACGCAUCGGAUUUUAACUUGAGAGCAUUUACAUUCCAGGAACUGUAUGAAGCAACAGAUGGGUUCAGUAACAGGAUAGGAAAAGGAUCUUUUGGCACUGUUUACAGUGGCACUCUUGGUUUCGAGGAUAAAGAAAUUGAUAUCGCAGUGAAGCAGUUGGACAACGUGAUCGAACGGGGUGAGAAGGAAUUUUUGACAGAAGUGAAGGUAAUUGGCCAAACCCAUCACAAGCAUCUGGUUAAGCUAGUGGGCUUCUGCAACGAGCGAAGCCACCGUCUUCUGGUCUAUGAGUUAAUGAAAAAUGGGCCACUAUCUGGUUUCCUAUUUCGAGAAGAGGAGAAACCAAGCUGGGAUCACAGGGCAACCAUAGUGCUACAAAUUGCGAGAGGCUUAUUAUAUUUGCACGAGGAAUGUGAUACCCAAAUCAUCCACUGUGACAUUAAGCCGCAGAAUGUGCUACUUGACGAACAUUACACGCCCAAAAUUGCAGACUUUGGCCUAGCAAAGCUGCUAAUGAAGGAUCAAACAAGAACAAGUACCGAUAUGAGGGGAACAAUGGGUUACAUGGCGCCAGAAUGGCUCAAGCAUGCUCCGAUAACAGCCAAAGUAGAUGUCUACAGUUUUGGAGUGAUGCUGCUGGAAAUAAUUUGCUGCAGAAGGCACAUAGAGCUGAAUAGAAUCGAGGAAGAGACGGAAGAGGAUGACCUAGUGUUAACAGAUUGGGUGCUGAAAUGUGUUAGAAUGGGGAGGCUAAAUUUGGUGGUUAAUAAUGAGCCUGAAGUACUGGAAGAUUUCAGAAGGUUUGAGAGACUGGCAAUGGUAGGAUUAUGGUGUGUUCAUCCUGACCCCAUCCUCCGACCAACCAUGAAGAAGGUAACACAGAUGUUGGAAGGCACAGCAGAAGUAGGAGUUCCACCACUUGCUCAUGAUCUGUCAUUGUCUUAAAAAUAAAUUUAAAAUAAAG